This 73-nucleotide transfer RNA is filed under the name Camponotus floridanus (Florida carpenter ant). It matches the Rfam family "tRNA". From Rfam's summary of the family: Transfer RNA (tRNA) molecules are approximately 80 nucleotides in length. Their secondary structure includes four short double-helical elements and three loops (D, anti-codon, and T loops). The record is from Rfam by way of RNAcentral. Lineage: Eukaryota; Metazoa; Arthropoda; Insecta; Hymenoptera; Formicidae.
CUCUGGAUAGCUCAGUGGUCUAGUGCAGUUGCCCGGAAAGCGAAAGACUCGGGUUCGAUUUCCGAUUCAGCCA